This 1404-nucleotide ribosomal RNA is filed under the name uncultured bacterium. RNAcentral describes it as "bacterial SSU rRNA". It matches the Rfam family "Bacterial small subunit ribosomal RNA". The record is from RNAcentral.
AGAGUUUGAUCCUGGCUCAGGAUGAACGCUAGCUACAGGCUUAACACAUGCAAGUCGAGGGGCAGCAUUAUCGAAGCUCGCUUUGAUAGAUGGCGACCGGCGCACGGGUGAGUAACGCGUAUCCAACCUUCCCCAUAGUCAGGAAUAGCCCGGCGAAAGUCGAAUUAAUGCCUGAUGUUUUCCACGGACGGCAUCAGAUGUGGAACAAAGAUUCAUCGCUAUGGGAUGGGGAUGCGUCUGAUUAGCUUGUUGGCGGGGUAACGGCCCACCAAGGCAACGAUCAGUAGGGGUUCUGAGAGGAAGGUCCCCCACAUUGGAACUGAGACACGGUCCAAACUCCUACGGGAGGCAGCAGUGAGGAAUAUUGGUCAAUGGGCGGAAGCCUGAACCAGCCAAGUAGCGUGAGGGACGACUGCCCUAUGGGUUGUAAACCUCUUUUAUAAGGGAAUAAAAUACGGGACGUGUCCUGUUUUGCAUGUACCUUAUGAAUAGGGACCGGCUAAUUCCGUGCCAGCAGCCGCGGUAAUACGGAAGGUCCAGGCGUUAUCCGGAUUUAUUGGGUUUAAAGGGAGCGCAGGCGGUCUUAUAAGCGUGACGUGAAAUGCAGCGGCUCAACCGUAUGAUGUGCGUCGCGAACUGUAGGACUUGAGUGUAUUCGAUGUCAGCGGAAUUUGUGGUGUAGCGGUGAAAUGCUUAGAUAUCACGAAGAACUCCGAUUGCGAAGGCAGCUGACAAGGCUACAACUGACGCUAAAGCUCGAAAGUGCGGGUAGCGAACGGGAUAAGAUACCCCGGUAGUCCACGCGGUAAACGAGGGAUACUAGGGGGUAGGAGGUAUGGACCCCUUAUGUGCGGCAGCUAACGCAUUAAGUAUCCCGCCUGGGGAGUACGGCCGCAAGGUUGAAACUCAAAGGAAUUGACGGGGGCCCGCACAAGUGGUGGAGCAUGUGGUUUAAUUCGACGCUACGCGAAGAACCUUACCUGGGUUUGACAUGGACCGGAAUAAUUUAGAGAUAGAUUAGCCUUCGGGUCGGUUCACAGGUGCUGCAUGGCUGUCGUCAGCUCGUGCCGUGAGGUGUUGGGUUAAGUCCCGCAACGAGCGCAACCCCUAUUUUCAGUUACUAACGGGUGAUGCCGAGGACUCUGGAGAGACUGCCGUUAUAAGACGGAGGAAGGUGGGGAUGACGUCAAGUCAGCAUGGCCCUUACGUCCAGGGCUACACACGUGCUACAAUGGUCGGUACAAAGGGCAGCGAGCUCGCGAGGGUAAGCGAAUCCCGCAAAGCCGAUCUCAGUCCGGAUUGCAGGCUGCAAUUCGCCUGCAUGAAGUCGGAAUCACUAGUAACCGCAGAUCAGCUACGCUGCGGUGAAUACGUUCCCGGGCCUUGCACACACCGCCCGUCAAG